This 598-nucleotide ribosomal RNA is filed under the name uncultured Pelagibacterales bacterium. Its description in RNAcentral is "bacterial SSU rRNA". It matches the Rfam family "Bacterial small subunit ribosomal RNA", at positions 126 to 757 of the family's 1533-position model. The record is from RNAcentral. Lineage: Bacteria; Pseudomonadati; Pseudomonadota; Alphaproteobacteria; Candidatus Pelagibacterales.
CUGCCUUUUGGUUUGGAAUAACACGGGGAAACUUGUGCUAAUACCGGAUAAGCCUUUACAGGGAAAGUUUUAACGCCAAAAGAUGAGCCCAUACUUGAUUAGCUAGUUGGUAAGGUAAUGGCUUACCAAGGCUACGAUCAAUAGCUGAUCUGAGAGGAUGAUCGGCCACAUUGGGACUGAGACACGGCCCAAACUCCUACGGGAGGCAGCAGUGGGGAAUCUUGCACAAUGGGGGAAACCUUGAUGCAGCGAUGCCGCGUGAGUGAAGAAGGCCUUUGGGUUGUAAAGCUCUUUCGUCGGGGAAGAAAAUGACUGUACCCGAAUAAGAAGGUCCGGCUAACUUCGUGCCAGCAGCCGCGGUAAUACGAAGGGACCUAGCGUAGUUCGGAAUUACUGGGCUUAAAGAGCUCGUAGGUGGUUAAGAAAGUUGGUGGUGAAAUCCCAAGGCUUAACCUUGGAACUGCCACCAAAACUUUUUGACUAGAGUAUGAUAGAGGUAAGUGGAAUUUCUAGUGUAGAGGUGAAAUUCGUAGAUAUUAGAAAGAACACCAAUUGCGAAGGCAACUUUCUGGAUCAUUACUGACACUGAGGGAGCGAA